UACGGAGGAUGCAAGCGUUAUCCGGAUUUAUUGGGUUUAAAGGGUGCGUAGGUGGAUAAGUAAGUCAGUGGUGAAAGCCUGCAGCUUAACUGUAGAAUUGCCAUUGAUACUGCUUGUCUUGAGUACAUUUGAGGUGGGCGGAAUAUGACAUGUAGCGGUGAAAUGCUUAGAUAUGUCAUAGAACACCGAUUGCGAAGGCAGCUCACUAAACUGUUACUGACACUGAGGCACGAAAGCGUGGGGAGCAAACAGG
This 253-nucleotide ribosomal RNA is filed under the name uncultured bacterium. RNAcentral's name for it is "partial 16S ribosomal RNA". It matches the Rfam family "Bacterial small subunit ribosomal RNA", at positions 524 to 776 of the family's 1533-position model. The record is from RNAcentral.